AGGGGUAUGGCUCAGUGGUAGAGCGCGUGCUUAGCGUGCAUGAGGUCCGGGUUCAAUCCCCAGGACCGCCA
This 71-nucleotide transfer RNA is filed under the name Camelus bactrianus (Bactrian camel). It matches the Rfam family "tRNA". From Rfam's summary of the family: Transfer RNA (tRNA) molecules are approximately 80 nucleotides in length. The record is from Rfam by way of RNAcentral. RNAcentral also lists the same sequence under 2 other names. Lineage: Eukaryota; Metazoa; Chordata; Mammalia; Artiodactyla; Camelidae.